Molecule: long non-coding RNA, 166 nt
Organism: Pimephales promelas (fathead minnow)
Lineage: Eukaryota; Metazoa; Chordata; Actinopteri; Cypriniformes; Leuciscidae
Source: RefSeq, a predicted model, not a curated record
GGCUCAUGAUGCUGAAUGCUGUCAUCAAAGGCUUUGAAGCUUUUGUGGUGGAGCAGGACCUGCAAGGAAAGAUGAUAGCAGCAUUUGUUGGGGGGAAAAAAGGUUUUAGGGAUUUUACUCAAAUAUAAAGAUCUGAAAUGUCUGCAGACUGGUAUGAGCACUGAGG